AACGAACGCUGGUGGCAUGCCUAACACAUGCAAGUCGAACGAAGCCUUCGGGCUUAGUGGCGCACGGGUGCGUAACGCGUGGGGAUCUGCCCUUUGGUUCGGAAUAACAGUUGGAAACGACUGCUAAUACCGGAUGAUGACGAAAGUCCAAAGAUUUAUCGCCAGAGGAUGAGCCCGCGUAGGAUUAGCUAGUUGGUGUGGUAAAGGCGCACCAAGGCGACGAUCCUUAGCUGGUCUGAGAGGAUGAUCAGCCACACUGGGACUGAGACACGGCCCAGACUCCUACGGGAGGCAGCAGUGGGGAAUAUUGGACAAUGGGCGAAAGCCUGAUCCAGCAAUGCCGCGUGAGUGAUGAAGGCCCUAGGGUUGUAAAGCUCUUUUACCCGGGAUGAUAAUGACAGUACCGGGAGAAUAAGCCCCGGCUAACUCCGUGCCAGCCGCCGCCGUAA
RNAcentral lists this ribosomal RNA (449 nucleotides) under uncultured bacterium. RNAcentral describes it as "partial 16S ribosomal RNA". It matches the Rfam family "Bacterial small subunit ribosomal RNA", at positions 29 to 523 of the family's 1533-position model. The record is from RNAcentral.